GAACUCCGCUAUCAAUUUAGCCCGACGGAUAAUGAGUCCGUCGGGAUGGGGGUGUAGUGAGCUUCCCGAACUCCCAGAUGAAGCUUUAGCCGUAAAGGCGGGUGGAACGGGAGAAGUUCCGCCCUUUAGGGCGGGGUAGCUCACACUCUUCUGAACUCUUU
This 161-nucleotide small nucleolar RNA is filed under the name Archaeoglobus fulgidus. RNAcentral describes it as "partial u-67 small nucleolar RNA". The record is from RNAcentral. Lineage: Archaea; Methanobacteriati; Methanobacteriota; Archaeoglobi; Archaeoglobales; Archaeoglobaceae.